Molecule: ribosomal RNA, 630 nt
Filed under: Triticum aestivum (bread wheat)
Lineage: Eukaryota; Viridiplantae; Streptophyta; Magnoliopsida; Poales; Poaceae
Description: partial small subunit ribosomal RNA
Source: RNAcentral
CUCAUUGUGCAUUUUAUUUUUUAGUGUGAGAAACAAUAAGCAUAAGUAGCCACUAGCAAAAUAACGUGUUAUCUACAUGCCCUAUUAUCUGCAACAAUGACAUUAGGCGAUGAAGAACAAUAUAUUUCCAAUGCAAUAUGUUAGCCAAACACACCCUGCCACGCCAAUCAUCUCAUGAUCCAAUAAAAUGUCUAGAAAAAUCUAUUGAAUGGCAUCAGUCCAGAUUUAUAUCUGGUGUGCUAGUAAAUCUGGACGAUCGAUGAACAUCAAACAUAUCAAGAAAAACAGUACAUCAAGGCAUCGACCUAAUUUCAGUAAGCAAAUCAACUCAAUUUAAAGAGCUAGAUGGCAGCUAAAAACUAACUCCAAAUCUAUCUAUAUUCUUAUAUAUUGUACGAAUAAGCUAACAACUAACUCCAAAUAUAUCAACACUCUUAUAUAACUCUGAAUCUAGAUGACAGCAAAUUAACACAAUUUAAAGAGCUAGGUGACAGACCAUUGUGGGAGUUGACUAUAAGCCACGCUCUUCCACUCGCAUCAGAUGUAGCCUAGCUCACACUACUCUAUGCAGUCGUCGACGCCAACUAUGCAUUCACAGCCGCUCUCACUCGCUGCUUUUGCUGGUCUCCU